GAUGAAGAACGUAGCGAAAUGCGAUAAGUAAUGUGAAUUGCAGAAUUCAGUGAAUCAUCGAAUCUUUGAACGCACAUUGCGCCCCCUGGUAUUCCGGGGGGGAUGCCUGUUCGAGCGUCAUUUCACCACUCAAGCCUCGCUUGGUAUUGGGCAACGCGGUCCGCCGCGUGCCUCAAAUCGACCGGCUGGGUCUUCUGUCCCCUAAGCGUUGUGGAAACUAUUCGCUAAAGGGUGUUCGGGAGGCUACGCCGUAAAACAACCCCAUUUCUAAGGUUGACCUCGGAUCAGGUAGGGAUACCCGCUGAACUUAAGCAUAUCAAUAAGCGGAGGA
Molecule: unclassified non-coding RNA, 331 nt
Filed under: soil metagenome
Description: partial contains 5.8S ribosomal RNA, internal transcribed spacer 2, and large subunit ribosomal RNA
Rfam family: 5.8S ribosomal RNA (bases 1-120)
Source: RNAcentral